UACAUCUAAAGGCUGGUGGUGGACUGUCUCUGGAUGGCUAGAGUUCUUUCUCUGCUAGCUUUUUGCUCUCUUUUCCUUUUCCUACAAAUGCCUGCCCACUCUGGCUCACUCAGAAUCCCAGCUCUGUCUUGUCAACUGAGAGAGAUGGCUAGGAUCUGCUUAGCUUCUCCCUCCCUACAUUGCAGCCUGCAAACUUUCUGCAUGUGGCAAGACUGGGCAGUUGCGAAGUUGAUCGUGUUUGCUUCCCGUUGCGCUGAGAUCACUCUCUUUCACUAUCUGAUUUCCAAUGUCUUGAGACACAUUCAGAAAAUAGAAUUUGGAAGGUAUUUAUGGAAGAGGAAAGUGGAGAAUGAAGAAUGGGAAACAGCAAGUGGUUAAUAUUAAGACACAUAUGGAGAACUUACACCAUAUGAGACACAUCCAUUGGCACUCUAGACCACCUACAGAAUUACAGAUGGGAGUCUCAUGAUCUUUAUACUUCAUCAAAUAGUUCAUACUCUCUGCCCAGGUCUUAUCUGUGUUUUCUUAGAAGAACACAAAAAUGUAAUAUGACUCUACCAUCAAAAAAUGUGUCAAUAAAACUUAAACACAGU
Molecule: long non-coding RNA, 593 nt
Filed under: Pan troglodytes (chimpanzee)
Lineage: Eukaryota; Metazoa; Chordata; Mammalia; Primates; Hominidae
Description: long non-coding RNA NONPTRT012504
Source: RNAcentral